This is a long non-coding RNA of Sciurus carolinensis (gray squirrel), 271 nucleotides long. RefSeq lists it as uncharacterized. The record is from RefSeq and is a predicted model, not a curated record. Lineage: Eukaryota; Metazoa; Chordata; Mammalia; Rodentia; Sciuridae. The transcript has 3 exons.
AUUUUAAAUUUUGACUGAGCUAUACAUUAUAUCCCCUGUUUGAGAUCACAGUAAUUUUACAACAAAAACCAAUCUUUUGAAUAUAACUUUAAAGAAGUUGGAGUCUGUCUUAUUUUGGAGCGAUUCUACAUGCAGUAAGGUGGGAGGCAGAGCCUUAUCUCAGGUUAGACUGUGAAGGAAUUGAGUUGUUAACAAAAUUUCUACAGUUUGAAUCUGAGAAAAGUAUUUCAGCAGAAGAGGCCAUGAAGUAUGCAUACAUUCAAAAUCUGGG